AAGACUAUACUUUCAGGGAUCAUUUCUAUAGUUUGUAAUCUAGCAGUCUGACUUCUGAAUCCAUGUGGGUAAGCAAUACUGUGUACAGUGUGAAAAUUCACUGCUGAUCCAGAAUUGAUGUAUGGA
RNAcentral lists this small nucleolar RNA (126 nucleotides) under Catagonus wagneri (Chacoan peccary). RNAcentral describes it as "Small nucleolar RNA U3 (ENSCWAG00000018335.1)". The stretch from base 1 to 89 matches the Rfam family "Small nucleolar RNA U3". From Rfam's summary of the family: Small nucleolar RNAs (snoRNAs) are involved in the processing and modification of rRNA in the nucleolus. There are two main classes of snoRNAs: the box C/D class, and the box H/ACA class. U3 snoRNA is a member of the box C/D class. The record is from RNAcentral. Lineage: Eukaryota; Metazoa; Chordata; Mammalia; Artiodactyla; Tayassuidae.